UACGUAGGGGGCAAGCGUUGUUCGGAUUUACUGGGCGUAAAGGGCGCGUAGGCGGCCAGCACAAGUCAGUUGUGAAAUCUCCGAGCUUAACUCGGAAAGGUCAACUGAUACUGUGCGGCUAGAGUGCAGAAGGGGCAACUGGAAUUCUCGGUGUAGCGGUGAAAUGCGUAGAUAUCGAGAGGAACACCUGCGGCGAAGGCGGGUUGCUGGGCUGACACUGACGCUGAGGCGCGAAAGCUAGGGGAGCGAACGGG
Molecule: ribosomal RNA, 254 nt
Filed under: uncultured bacterium
Lineage: Bacteria
Description: partial 16S ribosomal RNA
Rfam family: Bacterial small subunit ribosomal RNA
Source: RNAcentral